RNAcentral lists this ribosomal RNA (497 nucleotides) under uncultured bacterium. RNAcentral's name for it is "partial 16S ribosomal RNA". It matches the Rfam family "Bacterial small subunit ribosomal RNA", at positions 28 to 507 of the family's 1533-position model. The record is from RNAcentral.
GAUGAACGCUGGCGGCGUGCCUAAUACAUGCAAGUCGAGCGAACAGACGAGGAGCUUGCUCCUCUGACGUUAGCGGCGGACGGGUGAGUAACACGUGGAUAACCUACCUAUAAGACUGGGAUAACUUCGGGAAACCGGAGCUAAUACCGGAUAAUAUAUUGAACCGCAUGGUUCAAUAGUGAAAGACGGUUUUGCUGUCACUUAUAGAUGGAUCCGCGCCGCAUUAGCUAGUUGGUAAGGUAACGGCUUACCAAGGCAACGAGGCGUAGCCGACCUGAGAGGGGGAUCGGCCACCCGGGAACGGAGACGCGGUCCAGACACCUACGGGAGGAGGAGGAGGGGAAUCUUCCGCAAUGGGCGAAAGCCUGACGGGGCAACGCCACGUGGGUGAUGAAGGUCUUCGGAUCGUAAAACUCUGUUAUUAGGAAAGAACAAAUGUGUAAGUAACUAUGCACGUCUUGACGGUACCUAAUCAGAAAGCCACGGCUAACUACGUG